Molecule: ribosomal RNA, 497 nt
Filed under: uncultured bacterium
Lineage: Bacteria
Description: partial 16S ribosomal RNA
Rfam family: Bacterial small subunit ribosomal RNA
Source: RNAcentral
GAUGAACGCUGGCGGCGUGCCUAAUACAUGCAAGUCGAGCGAACGGACGAGAAGCUUGCUUCUCUGAUGUUAGCGGCGGGCGGGUGAGUAACACGUGGAUAACCUACCUAUAAGACUGGGAUAACUUCGGGAAACCGGAGCUAAUACCGGAUAAUAUUUUGAACCGCAUGGUUCAAAAGUGAAAGACGGUCUUGCUGUCACUUAUAGAUGGAUCCGCGCUGCAUUAGCUAGUUGGUAAGGUAACGGCUUACCAAGGCAACGAUGCAUAGCCGACCUGAGAGGGUGAUCGGCCACACUGGAACUGAGACACGGUCCAGACUCCUACGGGAGGCAGCAGUAGGGAAUCUUCCGCAAUGGGCGAAAGCCUGACGGAGCAACGCCGCGUGAGUGAUGAAGGUCUUCGGAUCGUAAAACUCUGUUAUUAGGGAAGAACAUAUGUGUAAGUAACUGUGCACAUCUUGACGGUACCUAAUAAGAAAGCCACGGCUAACUACGUG